RNAcentral lists this ribosomal RNA (91 nucleotides) under Radiococcus polycoccus. RNAcentral describes it as "partial 26S ribosomal RNA". It matches the Rfam family "Eukaryotic large subunit ribosomal RNA", at positions 38 to 128 of the family's 3401-position model. Lineage: Eukaryota; Viridiplantae; Chlorophyta; Chlorophyceae; Sphaeropleales; Radiococcaceae. The record is from RNAcentral.
GCAUAUCAAUAAGCGGUGGAAGAGAAACUAACCAGGAUGCGCUUAGUAACGGCGAGCGAACCGCGCAAAGCCCAACUUGAAAAUCUCCCUU